This 752-nucleotide ribosomal RNA is filed under the name uncultured marine dictyochophyte. RNAcentral describes it as "bacterial SSU rRNA". It matches the Rfam family "Bacterial small subunit ribosomal RNA", at positions 547 to 1314 of the family's 1533-position model. The record is from RNAcentral. Lineage: Eukaryota; Dictyochophyceae.
GGAAUCACUGGGCGUAAAGCGUCUGUAGGUGGUUUAGUAAGUCUAUUGUUAAAUCUUGAGGCUCAACUUCAAAUCAGCGAUGGAAACUGCUAGACUAGAGUGUGGUAGAGGUAAGAGGAAUUUCCAGUGGAGCGGUGAAAUGCGUAGAUAUUGGAAAGAACACCGAUGGCGAAGGCAUCUUACUGGGCCAUAACUGACACUCAGAGACGAAAGCUAGGGUAGCAAAUGGGAUUAGAUACCCCAGUAGUCCUAGCAGUAAACGAUGGAUACUAGAUGUUGCCCGUAUCAACCCGUGCAGUGUCAAAGCUAACGCGUUAAGUAUCCCGCCUGGGAAGUAUGCACGCAAGUGUGUAACUCAAAGGAAUUGACGGGGGCCCGCACAAGCGGUGGAGCAUGUGGUUUAAUUUGAUGCAACGCGAAGAACCUUACCAGGGUUUGACAUGACAUGAAUUUUUCUGAGAAGAAAAAGUGCCUUUUAGGAACAUGUACACAGGUGGUGCAUGGCUGUCGUCAGCUCGUGUCGUGAGAUGUUGGGUUAAGUCCCGCAACGAGCGCAACCCUUGUUUUUAGUUAUUUUUCUAGAAAGACUGCCGGUUAAAAGCCGGAGGAAGGCGGGGACGACGUCAAGUCAGCAUGCCCCUUAUACCCUGGGCUACACACGUGCUACAUUGGGUAAGACAAUGAGUCGCGAGCCUGUGAAGGUCAGCAAAUCUAUAAACUUACUCUAAGUUCGGAUUGUAGGCUGCAACUCG